RNAcentral lists this ribosomal RNA (269 nucleotides) under uncultured bacterium. Its description in RNAcentral is "partial 16S ribosomal RNA". It matches the Rfam family "Bacterial small subunit ribosomal RNA", at positions 66 to 339 of the family's 1533-position model. The record is from RNAcentral.
GCGAUGAAGUUUCUUCGGAAAUGGAUUAGCGGCGAACGGGUGAGUAACGCGUAGGAAUCUGCCUGAUAGUGGGGGAUACCCCGGGGAAACCCGGAUUAAUACCGCAUACGCCCUACGGGGGAAAGCAGGGGAUCGUAAGACCUUGCGUUAAUGGAGCGGCCGAUAUCUGAUUAGCUUGUUGGUGAGGUAAAGGCUCACCAAGGCGACGAUCCGUAGCUGGUCUGAGAGGACGACCAGCCACACUGGGACUGAGACACGGCCCAGACUCC